UACAUGGGGUGCAAACGUUGCUCGGAAUCAUUGGGCGUAAAGCGCACGUAGGCGGUUACUUAAGUCGGAUGUGAAAGCCCUCGGCUCAACUGAGGAAGUGCACCCGAAACUGAGUAGCUAGAGUACGAAAGAGGGUCGCGGAAUUCCCGGUGUAGAGGUGAAAUUCGUAGAUAUCGAGAGGAACACCUGCGGCGAAGGCGGGUUGCUGGGCUGAUACUGACGCUGAGGCGCGAAAGCCAGGGGAGCGAACGGG
RNAcentral lists this ribosomal RNA (253 nucleotides) under uncultured bacterium. Its description in RNAcentral is "partial 16S ribosomal RNA". It matches the Rfam family "Bacterial small subunit ribosomal RNA", at positions 524 to 776 of the family's 1533-position model. The record is from RNAcentral.